GUAGGUCCCGAGCGUUGUCCGGAUUUAUUGGGCGUAAAGCGAGCGCAGGCGGUUAGAUAAGUCUGAAGUUAAAGGCUGUGGCUUAACCAUAGUAUGCUUUGGAAACUGUUUAACUUGAGUGCAGAAGGGGAGAGUGGAAUUCCAUGUGUAGCGGUGAAAUGCGUAGAUAUAUGGAGGAACACCGGUGGCGAAAGCGGCUCUCUGGUCUGUAACUGACGCUGAGGCUCGAAAGCGUGGGGAGCAAACAGGAUUAGAUACCCCGGUAGUCCACGCCGUAAACGAUGAGUGCUAGGUGUUAGGCCCUUUCCAGGGCUUAGUGCCGCAGCUAACGCAUUAAGCACUCCGCCUGGGGAGUACGACCGCAAGGUUG
This 370-nucleotide ribosomal RNA is filed under the name uncultured bacterium. RNAcentral describes it as "bacterial SSU rRNA". It matches the Rfam family "Bacterial small subunit ribosomal RNA", at positions 527 to 896 of the family's 1533-position model. The record is from RNAcentral.